UACGUAGGGUGCAAGCGUUGUCCGGAAUUAUUGGGCGUAAAGAGCUCGUAGGCGGUUUUUCGCGUCGAAUGUGAAAACCCGGGGCUCAACCCCGGGCCUGCAUUCGAUACGGGCAGACUAGAGUUCGGUAGGGGAGUCUGGAAUUCCUGGUGUAGCGGUGAAAUGCGCAGAUAUCAGGAGGAACACCGGUGGCGAAGGCGGGACUCUGGACCGAUACUGACGCUGAGGAGCGAAAGCGUGGGGAGCAAACAGG
This 253-nucleotide ribosomal RNA is filed under the name uncultured bacterium. RNAcentral describes it as "partial 16S ribosomal RNA". It matches the Rfam family "Bacterial small subunit ribosomal RNA", at positions 524 to 776 of the family's 1533-position model. The record is from RNAcentral.